This 1345-nucleotide ribosomal RNA is filed under the name uncultured bacterium. RNAcentral's name for it is "partial 16S ribosomal RNA". It matches the Rfam family "Bacterial small subunit ribosomal RNA", at positions 28 to 1381 of the family's 1533-position model. The record is from RNAcentral.
GACGAACGCUGGCGGCGUGCUUACACAUGCAAGUCGAACGGAAAGGCCCUGCUUUUGUGGGGUGCUCGAGUGGCGAACGGGUGAGUAACACGUGAGUAACCUGCCCUUGACUUUGGGAUAACUUCAGGAAACUGGGGCUAAUACCGGAUAGGAGCUCCUGCUGCAUGGUGGGGGUUGGAAAGUUUCGGCGGUUGGGGAUGGACUCGCGGCUUAUCAGCUUGUUGGUGGGGUAGUGGCUUACCAAGGCUUUGACGGGUAGCCGGCCUGAGAGGGUGACCGGCCGCAUUGGGACUGAGAUACGGCCCAGACUCCUACGGGAGGCAGCAGUGGGGAAUAUUGCACAAUGGGCGGAAGCCUGAUGCAGCAACGCCGCGUGCGGGAUGACGGCCUUCGGGUUGUAAACCGCUUUCGCCUGUGACGAAGCGUGAGUGAUGGUAAUGGGUAAAGAAGCACCGGCUAACUACGUGCCAGCAGCCGCGGUGAUACGUAGGGUGCGAGCGUUGUCCGGAUUUAUUGGGCGUAAAGGGCUCGUAGGUGGUUGAUCGCGUCGGAAGUGUAAUCUUGGGGCUUAACCCUGAGCGUGCUUUCGAUACGGGUUGACUUGAGGAAGGUAGGGGAGAAUGGAAUUCCUGGUGGAGCGGUGGAAUGCGCAGAUAUCAGGAGGAACACCAGUGGCGAAGGCGGUUCUCUGGGCCUUUCCUGACGCUGAGGAGCGAAAGCGUGGGGAGCGAACAGGCUUAGAUACCCUGGUAGUCCACGCUGUAAACGGUGGGUACUAGGUGUGGGGUCCAUUCCACGGGUUCCGUGCCGUAGCUAACGCUUUAAGUACCCCGCCUGGGGAGUACGGCCGCAAGGCUAAAACUCAAAGGAACUGACGGGGCCCCGCACAAGCGGCGGAGCAUGCGGGUUAAUUCGAUGCAACGCGUAGAACCUUACCUGGGUUUGACAUGGAUCGGGAGUGCUCAGAGAUGGGUGUGCCUCUUUUGGGGUCGGUUCACAGGUGGUGCAUGCCUGUCGUCAGCUCGUGUCGUGAGAUGUUGGGUUAAGUCCCGCAACGAGCGCAACCCUUGUUCACUGUUGCCAGCACGUUAUGGUGGGGACUCAGUGGAGACCGCCGGGGUCAACUCGGAGGAAGGUGGGGAUGACGUCAAGUCAUCAUGCCCCUUAUGUCCAGGGCUUCACGCAUGCUACAAUGGCUGGUACAGAGAGUGGCGAGCCUGUGAGGGUGAGCGAAUCUCGGAAAGCCGGUCUCAGUUCGGAUUGGGGUCUGCAACUCGACCUCAUGAAGUCGGAGUCGCUAGUAAUCGCAGAUCAGCAACGCUGCGGUGAAUACGUUCCCGGGGCU